GGGAACAUCGUUCAGUGGCAGGAUACCUAGUUGUCUCUUAGGUGACGCGAGUUCGAUCCUCGCUGUUCUCG
Molecule: transfer RNA, 71 nt
Filed under: Hymenobacter sp.
Lineage: Bacteria; Pseudomonadati; Bacteroidota; Cytophagia; Cytophagales; Hymenobacteraceae
Description: tRNA-Asp
Rfam family: tRNA
About the family: Transfer RNA (tRNA) molecules are approximately 80 nucleotides in length. Their secondary structure includes four short double-helical elements and three loops (D, anti-codon, and T loops).
Source: RNAcentral